AUGAAAAACAUGUUAACCAUCAUCUCCAACGCCCUUUGUCGGAUCACUGGCAGGAAUGUGGGAGCCCAAUCAGUGUCCGAGUUGCUGAUCGACCUGUCAGCGUACGUCAGUGUAACUUCGCCAGAGGCGCCCGACUUGGCAAAGACCCAGCGGCAGCCACCUAAACCACCACCGCCGCCACCAGUCAGUACUAGAGCGCAUGACGCAGAGUUAGUUAGCUGCCAGAGCGACGCGCUAGAUGCACCAGUAAGAACCACGACCGGCAUCCUCCACGUCUGCCUGAUCACUAACGGGGCUGAGGGGGAACUAAAGGAAAUUAACCCCUUAAAGUAA
RNAcentral lists this long non-coding RNA (333 nucleotides) under Scophthalmus maximus (turbot). RNAcentral describes it as "lncRNA (ENSSMAG00000035590.1)". Lineage: Eukaryota; Metazoa; Chordata; Actinopteri; Pleuronectiformes; Scophthalmidae. The record is from RNAcentral.